AUGUAUAGCGGUGGUGACCUUAAGGCAGCCUGGAAGGGUAUCAAAUGUAUGGCUUCUUGUAAUCACCAAAAAGAGGAUAAGAAACUUAUCAAUGUAAAAGGAGUGCCUGACUCUGUCCUGCCAGAUGUUUUUAAUUCAUUUUUUAGUCGGUUUGAGAGGGGGGACCUUAUUGGAAAGGUUGGGGUCUGCAAGGAAGCCCUCAAACCUAGUGAGGGAUUUGUAAUUUCACUAGACCAGGUCACCAUCUUACUUAAAAAGGUAAAGGUGGGGAAAGCAAGGGGCCCCGACGCCAUCUGUGGGCGUACCCUGCAUCACUGUGCCAACCAGUUGAGUAGUGUUUUUAGCAGAUUGUUUCAAACAUGUGUGGAUGUGGGUCAGAUUCCAUCUUUGUGGAAAACUUCGACUAUAAUCCCAAUCCCUAAAUCAAGUACUUCAAAGGAACUGUCUGACUUUAGACCAGUAGCACUCACAUCACUUGUGAUGAAAACUUUUGAAAAAAUUCUAAAAUCCGAAAUUUUAUCUCUGACAGAGGGGAGACUUGACCCACUUCAAUUUGCCUACCAGCAAAAUAAGGGGGUAGAAGAUGCAGUGCUUUGUGUAUUGAACACGGUCUACAAGCACCUUGAUAAAACGGGGACUUGUGUAAGGCUCUUGUUUGCAGACUUUUCUUCAGCCUUUAACAAGAUGCAGCCCCACAUCCUGAUUGAAAGACUUGCCAAUGUUUUUAAUUUGCCCGAUCAGCUUCUCUUACUGAUUUUGAACUUUCUUACGGGGAGGACCCAGCGGGUGUUGGUUAAUGGUCAGAUUUCUCUCCCAUUAAUGUCCAGCACCGGAUCUCCUCAGGGAUGCGUUCUGUCCCCCCUGUUGUUUAUCCUGUACACAGACAGCUGCAGGGUCACUCAGAACAACAGGUUCUUGGUUAAGUUUUCGGACGACACUGUUUUGAUGUCCUUACUUUCGGGAUCUGAAAUAAACCAUGGUCCCGCGCUGUCAGAUUUUGUAGAAUGGUGUGACAGUAACUACCUGGACCUGAACGUCAAAAAAACCAAGGACAUGAUUAUUGAUUUUAGACGCUCCGCACCACCCCACCUUGGUAGUAGCAUCAUCCACGGUGAAGUGGUGGAGGUGGUUGAAGAGUACAGAUACCUUGGUUCUUGGAUUGACAACAAGCUGCGGUUUGUCACAAACACGGACUCCAUUUUUAAACGAGCUCAGCAGAGAAUCUAUCUUUUAAGGAAAUUGAACUAUUUUAACGUGAAUAAAAGGAUUCUCUGCAACUUUUAUAGCUGUUUUAUAGAAAGCAUUUUAACAUUUUCAUUUGUUUGUUGGUACAAAGCCUUGUCCAUGAAGGACAAAAAGAAGCUGCAGAGCAUUGUAAAAAUCUGCUCCAAAAUUAUUGGCGCCAAACAAAGAGACUUACAGUCUCUUUGGGAGGAAAGGGCGCGAAAAAAGGCUAAAUGUAUCCUUGGUCAGCCCCUCCAUGCUCUGCACUCUGAGUUCUCUCUUAUGCCCUCAGGACGUCGUUAUUAUGUACCUUCUCGAAAAACAAACCGCUUUGCCAACUCCUUUGUUUCAUCAGCUAUUGAACUGCUUAACUCUGAGCCGGGAGGGGUGGCGAAAUAA
This 1623-nucleotide long non-coding RNA is filed under the name Nothobranchius furzeri (turquoise killifish). Its description in RNAcentral is "lncRNA (ENSNFUG00015010435.1)". The record is from RNAcentral. Lineage: Eukaryota; Metazoa; Chordata; Actinopteri; Cyprinodontiformes; Nothobranchiidae.